CGGUGCGGGGGGGCGGGGGGGAUGGAUGAAACAGGUGAAGCUGAUUAAGGAGAGCACUAGUCGUGAUGAGCCCUGGAUGUUGUAUGGAAGUGUUGAAUCACUAUAUUGUACACCUGAAACUGAUAUUAUACUGUAGGUUAACCAUACUGGACAUUUAGAUAAAUACUU
This is a long non-coding RNA of Leopardus geoffroyi (Geoffroy's cat), 168 nucleotides long. RefSeq lists it as uncharacterized. NCBI's taxonomy places the organism in Eukaryota, Metazoa, Chordata, Mammalia, Carnivora, Felidae. The transcript has 3 exons. The record is from RefSeq and is a predicted model, not a curated record.